UUCCUUUCAAGAGUUAGGCUGAAUUCCAAAAACCAGCUACGCUGGCGAACAAACAAAUUACAGUAAAAAGUAGUUUUCAUUUUAAUAACGCCUACAACCCUGCCUGUAACGUAGGGGACACUUAUGAGGAAGGCCCAGUAAACAAUUGAUAUAUCAAAAUUGAACUGGUCAAUUUGUCAAAAAAAAAUCCCAACUGGAUGACAAAAGCAUUAAAAUUAACGCCUCCAACUGUUGAAUAAUGAGAAAAGAAAAAGAAAAGUGAAGAUUGUCGUGAUCCACAUUGCGGAAUAUCUGACCUCAUCAGGUUUGCAUAUGGAAUCGAAUCUAUUGUCAUGUUUACUUAGUCAUAUCGCUAGCUGGAAAUCCUUAAUACCACCUUCCCCAAUGCGCCUUAGAUACUCUAACAGGCCUUGAUCAAGAUUCAAUCCAAUGCAAUGAAGAAUGUAAGCAAUACAAAAGACGAUGAUGACGAGGACUCCAAAUCUGCACUUCUGAUUAAUGGGAAUGGAGAUCUGAAUGGCAGAAGGAAAUUGAAAGUGCAAUGGAAUGAUACCAAUGGGAAAGAGCUCACUUCUGUAUGGAAAUUUGAGCCAAGUGACUCUGACUCAGAUGAUGAUAAGGAUAAUGAGCAUUCUCAAGCUUGUAGCUGUGUCAUUAUGUAGAAUUUUUACAUCAUUUGUGAGGCCAACAAAAGGCAGUUUUUUAUGAAUGGAGUCAGCACUCUAUUCAGGCUUUGAUCUUCGUAUAGACCCUUACAAAGGGAUUGUGAUUAUGAGUUCUCUUGAAAAAUUGGUGGGAGGAGAUUGAUUUGCAAACGUCCGAUAAUGCCCUUUAGUUGUGUAUACUAUCAUGGUUUUGUGAUCAUAUGCAACAAAUCAUCAAAGUUUAUUCUGCUAGGGCAACUCUGAUGCUUCAAAUUGAUGUUCUAAAAGUAUUUUUCGUUAUACUGGAUAUUUCAUGUACAGGAAGUGAUUUAAUGAAAUCUAACUCUCAAGUUGUAUUUCCUUGAUUCUGUACAAAUAUAUAUGUGUUCCAGAUAAUCUUUUUGCUGUU
Molecule: long non-coding RNA, 1053 nt
Organism: Cryptomeria japonica (Japanese cedar)
Lineage: Eukaryota; Viridiplantae; Streptophyta; Pinopsida; Cupressales; Cupressaceae
Exons: 2
Source: RefSeq, a predicted model, not a curated record